UGGCAUUCGAGUGGCGGACGGGUGAGUAACGCGUGGGUAACCUGCCUUACACAGGGGGAUAACACCUGGAAACAGGUGCUAAUACCGCAUAAGCGCACAGGGCCGCAUGGCCCGGUGUGAAAAACUCCGGUGGUGUAAGAUGGACCCGCGUCUGAUUAGCUUGUUGGCGGGGUAACGGCCCACCGUGGCGACGAUGCGUAGGGGUUCUGAGAGGAAGGCCCCCCACACUGGAACUGAGACACGGUCCAGACUCCUACGGAAGGCAGCAG
RNAcentral lists this ribosomal RNA (269 nucleotides) under uncultured bacterium. RNAcentral describes it as "partial 16S ribosomal RNA". It matches the Rfam family "Bacterial small subunit ribosomal RNA", at positions 85 to 354 of the family's 1533-position model. The record is from RNAcentral.